GGUCGGUUGUUAUUGUUGAAGGAAGUAGAAAUGCUCGAUGACAACCAAAAACGUCUGAAGAAAACUGACAAUCCCUAUCAAUUGAAAUUUGAGAAGAAUGCACAUGCCACGUGGGCGAUACGUACAGUACUCAAAACCUCAGAGUUGACAGGCCAUUGAUACAAUAGUUACUGCUCAGACCUCUUGACCGAAGGGCUCCUCUACAUUAAACAUAGUUUAAAAACCACACGGACACUGGUACAGUUCUACAGUUUACUGAUAAUCCAUGUACGCUGGUGAAGGGUCUUGAAAUCGUGAUAAUGCAAAUGCGUUAACUUAUUGUUUCCAAACGCAGAAUUUAAAAAGUCGCAUAGUACUGUAACAAUUAAUUCAAUCCUGUGUGAAAGCACAAACUUAUAUUUUUUUCUCAUAGUCAAAUGAGGCUAUUGCGAUCCGUCUUGAUGAUUAAUUACUUAACUUAUAAUGCAGUUCUCUUUUCGCUUGUAUUAACAAUUUCCUAGCUCGACUUAUAGUUUUUUUCCAUUUUCAUCAUGCACGUGUCUCAAAUAUGAACCUGAAAGGGAUUGUCCAUUCCAUCGGAUUCAAAUACAAAAUUGCCAUGUUUUUUUUUUUUUUUUUGUUUUUUUUAAAUGUUUUGUGUAGGAGGAAUAUAAGGGUUCCCAAACGCAGAUCAACCCACGACCUUAUUCAGGGCCUAUUAUUCUGUUCAGUAUCUUAUCGUUUCCAUGCUUGUUGGCUUUUAUUUUUUUUGUACUCUUCAGUGUUCCUUUUGUUUCUUUGAUUUCCUCUUAUAUAUGAUGUAUUUCGCUCGGUUUGAUUUUGUAGUCCGGAUUUAAUAUUGCUUCCCUUAUCCUCUGUGCAUCGGAAAUAAACACCACAUUUAUUCUAAAAGCAGUUGUUGGCAUGAUACGGGUUAUAUUAUUCUCAUAUAUUUUAUGAUGCUAUGAUAUUCAACCCGUAACUGGAGGGAUGGUGCUUGAUAUUUAUCUGAUGAGAAAUAAUCGUUCAAUCAGUUUAAUUGAGGUCUGGAGCUGGCAUAUCAGUAACUGUUGGUAGUCCUUUGUUAAUUUUUGUAUCAGUGUCAUUUUGUUUAGUUUAUUUUGUUACUUAUUCUGACAUCGGACUCGAACUUCUUUUAAACUGAGUUUUAUUGUACGUAUUACUGUGUGUUUGUUUUUUCUACAUUAGCUAAAGGUACAUUUGUAUAGGGAGAGGGUUGAGAUUUAAAAAAACAUGUUUAACUACGCCUUUCCCAAGUCAGUAGCCUCUGGCAUUCGUUAGUCUUGUAUGAUUUUUACUUUUAUUUUUUUAUAUAUUUUUUGAAGUUUAGUAUGACGUCCAUUAUCACUGAAAACUAGUACAUAUUUUAAAAGGCCAGCUGAUGCUGGCAUUCGGGUGCGGGAUUUUCUAACUGUAUUGAAGACCCAUUGCUGGGCUUGAGGUGUGUUCUGCCCUUUGCUCAGUAGUUGUCUCUUUGACAGAUGUCCUAUUUCUAUUCUCAAAUUUAUUGUUUUUUUCUCAACGGUUAAUGACUUUUGAAUACCGGUAUACUACUUUUGCCUUUAUUUAUUUCUCAUUUUUUCUUUCGAAAUGAUACUGGGAGUUGCUGUUCUUUCUGUAGUUUAUACUUUGAAGACAGGCAGAAAAUUCCAAAAGCACAUUCAAACUUACAUGUAUAAGUAGAAAACAAACUGACAGCGUCAUGGCCCUUGUCAAAACAUGCUGUAUAUCUAACUGCAACACUUAUACACAUAUUUUCUAGCCGAAGGUAACUAUCGGGUUCCAUCAUUUACACUGUUGCGAUAUUUCAGCUUGAUGGCGAAUGGUAAUUCAUAACAUAUGCCUGUAUUGUGGAACAAAAAUAAAAUCGCUUUUCCAGACAAAUGAGAC
RNAcentral lists this long non-coding RNA (1890 nucleotides) under Mytilus galloprovincialis (Mediterranean mussel). Lineage: Eukaryota; Metazoa; Mollusca; Bivalvia; Mytilida; Mytilidae. The record is from RNAcentral.